Molecule: long non-coding RNA, 2364 nt
Filed under: Homo sapiens (human)
Lineage: Eukaryota; Metazoa; Chordata; Mammalia; Primates; Hominidae
Description: HSALNT0135313
Source: RNAcentral
AGGGGCUUUCAAAUUCCAGGAAGUCUUUCCAAGUUAGGUCUUCCCCUCUGUUUCUCCUACUUUGCAUCUUUCCUCUUCCUGUCCACCUCUUCUCCCCUUCCUCCUCCUGAGUCCCCCUCAAUACCUAAUGCAAACCGGGAUCCAGAUGGCUCACUAGGGGUUAAAGACCAUGUUGAUAUAUUAAAAAAAAAAUGCAAAGGAGAAAAAUGGGAGAAUCUGAUGAUAACAGCAGGCCCUUUGAAGAGCCACCUUGAAGGAAGUCAAAGAAGUAUAUUUCAGGACACAGAAGCUUGUCCUGGCAAGAAUCCUAUCUGUAAGCUCUACAGAACUAGCAUUUCCUCAAUUUCCAUCUGCCAAGAUGCUAACAGAGAACACAUCAAGGCUUUCACCUAAAGGAGCAACCUCACAAUUUCAAGAUGGUAUUUGCUGAUUUUAAUAGAGCUCGGGGCUAAUUCACAGACAGUAUCAUAUGCAGCCACUGGCAGGAAGAGCAACUUCACUCCACCUCCUUUUGCCCGAAAGAUGAAAAAUCAAUAACCAGUUUCUCAAAAUGAUUCUGCAAUGGCCUGUACCAUGUGGACCAGGCAGCUUCCGCAGCCAGAGGAGACCCACAGGCAGAGAGCUGCAGGAAACCUUCCAAGCAUGGAACUGUCUCCAGGGCGGGUCACCAGGAUGUAGGCAAAGUCAGACAGAAUCUACUAGAAGGUGAUUGGAUUAGAUGACUUCUAACAUGCCUCCAAUCCCUGAAAGCUUAUUUAACAGAGAGGGAUGAGGUUGAAUGCCAUAGUACUACAUCUUUAGAAUUUUUGGCAAUAAGCUUUAGAAGUCUGUGAUCACAGUUGUAACUAGCCCUCCAUCCCAUCAGGAAUUCUGAAAGACAGUGUAGGUUAUACCCCUGGAAUAUACUGAAUAGACGGAAUUGAGGUGUUUAUCCACUAACUCCCAUCAGUUAUGUCUUGAAGACUCUUCCAAGUAGAGCAUCAGCUCCCCAGCAUUUGUGGCUGAUGCCAAGGUAGGCAGAACAGACUUGGGUGGCCAGAAAAUACCCUCAGGCAAAGAGCUGUGGUGCUUGGUGUUCAAAGUCAGCCAGCUUGCAUGGAAAUUGUGAUGACAAAGGUAUAAAUGGGGCACUGAGAACAUCUGCUCUAAAGGAGGUCAAUUUGUUAAGCCCCAAUGAUAUACGCAGAAGAUUUGAGAACUCUGUGACGUAUCAAGUACAGUCUGUAGAUUAUUGUAGAUUGUUCCACCUACGGAUGCCACUGGGGGAAAAAACCCAAACGUGAACACUUCAAAACCAACUCAAGCUUAUUGCCACCAUCAAGAACCUCCUAAUCACCACAGCCAAGCUUCUUCAUUUUCUUCAGACUGUUUUUAUGAAGGUUCUGUCUCUAUCACCCAUUCAGAACUUACUGCAUUCUUUUUUUGUUCUACAAGAAAAUGGAUGACUUGUCUUCCUAACUAUAUUGUAAGUUUCUGCAGAAAAGAGCCUCUGUUUUACUAUUCGAUGCCAUUCUCAGUGCCUAGAACACAGGAAUGUUCUACAAAUACUUGUUGCCUUGAAUAAACUGUAAAAAGUAAGUAUAGAAAAUACUAAAAAGAAAAUAAGUUUGAAAAUGGUAUCUAUGGCUAGUGGAAUUGUUUUCUGUCUUUUCUUUUGCUUUCUUUUAUUUUUAACUUUUUUUCAGAAAAGCAAUAUGUGCUCUUGUGGAGAAUUUGGAAAGUAUAGAAAGAGUAAUAAAAAACUGCUUGUCUAACAAUGAAAAAAGCAAAGAAACUGGCUACUUCUUAAAAUCAAAUUUAGUCCCAUAUUCAGCACUAGAUCUAUCCAAUAUCAUAAGCUUCAACAUUCAAAUGACUUAGAAAUUGGUUACUUAAGUGAGCAUUAUUUUUGUCUGCCCACCUAAAAUAAUAGGCCAUAUUUCAUCAUGGAAAAGAAAUGGUAAGAUUAAAUAAAUGACAUAAAUAACCCAUCCAUGUUAAUUUCCGCCGUUCAACUUUCUUUACUCAUUGCUUCUGGUCCUCUCUAUAUCAUAUAGAAUACUUCUAGGUACAAAGCUUGCCUUAUUUAAUUUAGAAACCAAAAUACACUUUAGUGUAGUGCUAAGCUUGAGAAUGAGCUUCUUUGAACUGUGAUGAACCUUCUUAAUUUCAAUGUAUCAUUAUAACUACUAAUUUAAUUUUUCAUGUUUUAGAGACACCUAGGUUUCAAUCUGCACAUUAUUAACAAUUAAUGGUCAGAUUUAGGAUGGGAUACUCUAAUUUUAAUAAAAGACUUCACAGGAAAUGUCAGUGAACUCUACAGAAUCAAUCAUUUAUAAGCAGUCUUUGGUUUUCACUGAAAUAUUUAUGAAUGAUAAAAUUAUU